AACAUACUCCCUCCGUUUCACAAUACAUGCCUUCUAUUAUUUAAAAUAUAAAUGUAUCUAGACAUGCUUUAGUAUAUAGAUACAUUUAUUUUUGGAUAAAUGUAAGUCAAGUAUUUUGGAACGGAAGGAAUAGUUU
Triticum aestivum (bread wheat) is the source of this 136-nucleotide non-coding RNA. The record is from Rfam. Lineage: Eukaryota; Viridiplantae; Streptophyta; Magnoliopsida; Poales; Poaceae.